ACGCUGGCGGCAGGCCUAACACAUGCAAGUCGAGCGGUAGAGAGAAGCUUGCUUCUCUUGAGAGCGGCGGACGGGUGAGUAAUGCCUAGGAAUCUGCCUGGUAGUGGGGGAUAACGCUCGGAAACGGACGCUAAUACCGCAUACGUCCUACGGGAGAAAGCAGGGGACCUUCGGGCCUUGCGCUAUCAGAUGAGCCUAGGUCGGAUUAGCUAGUUGGUGAGGUAAUGGCUCACCAAGGCGACGAUCCGUAACUGGUCUGAGAGGAUGAUCAGUCACACUGGAACUGAGACACGGUCCAGACUCCUACGGGAGGCAGCAGUGGGGAAUAUUGGACAAUGGGCGAAAGCCUGAUCCAGCCACGCCGCGUGUGUGAAGAAGGUCUUCGGAUUGUAAAGCACUUUAAGUUGGGAGGAAGGGCAGUAAAUUAAUACUUUGCUGUUUUGACGUUACCGACAGAAUAAGCACCGGCUAACUCUGUGCCAGCAGCCGCGGUAAUACAGAGGGUGCAAGCGUUAAUCGGAAUUACUGGGCGUAAAGCGCGCGUAGGUGGUUUGUUAAGUUGGAUGUGAAAUCCCCGGGCUCAACCUGGGAACUGCAUUCAAAACUGACAAGCUAGAGUAUGGUAGAGGGUGGUGGAAUUUCCUGUGUAGCGGUGAAAUGCGUAGAUAUAGGAAGGAACACCAGUGGCGAAGGCGACCACCUGGACUGAUACUGACACUGAGGUGCGAAAGCGUGGGGAGCAAAC
Molecule: ribosomal RNA, 745 nt
Filed under: uncultured bacterium
Lineage: Bacteria
Description: bacterial SSU rRNA
Rfam family: Bacterial small subunit ribosomal RNA
Source: RNAcentral